This 31-nucleotide non-coding RNA is filed under the name Mus musculus (house mouse). Lineage: Eukaryota; Metazoa; Chordata; Mammalia; Rodentia; Muridae. The record is from RNAcentral.
UUUUAAACUGAGCUUUGAAGGCUCUGACGAA